Molecule: ribosomal RNA, 1423 nt
Filed under: uncultured bacterium
Lineage: Bacteria
Description: bacterial SSU rRNA
Rfam family: Bacterial small subunit ribosomal RNA
Source: RNAcentral
CCUGAACGCUGGCGGCGUGCCUAAUACAUGCAAGUCGAGCGAGAGAAGCUUCCUCCGGGAAGUGGAUCAAGCGGCGAACGGGUGAGUAACACGUGGGCAACCUGCCCGCAAGACUGGGAUAACUACGGGAAACCGGAGCUAAUACCAGAUACGCAUUUCCUUCGCAUGAAGGAAAUGAGAAAGAUGGCCGUGGGCCCUGCGAAAGUAAUACUUUCGUGGGUGCGGAUUCGGCUAUCACUUGCGGAUGGGCCCGCGGCGCAUUAGCUAGUUGGUAAGGUGAUGGCUUACCAAGGCGACGAUGCGUAGCCUACCUGAGAGGGUGACCGGCCACACUGGGACUGAGACACGGCCCAGACUCCUACGGGAGGCAGCAGUAGGGAAUUUUCCGCAAUGGGCGCAAGCCUGACGGAGCAACGCCGCGUGAGUGAGGACGGCCUUCGGGUUGUAAAACUCUGUUCUUUCGAAAGAGUAUCACGGAACCGAAUAGGUUCUGUGGUUCGACGGUACGAGAGGAGAAAGCCCCGGCUAACUACGUGCCAGCAGCCGCGGUAAUACGUAGGGGGCAAGCGUUGUCCGGAUUUAUUGGGCGUAAAGGGCGCGCAGGCGGCCUGUUAAGUCAGAUGUGUAAGGUCUCGGCUCAACCGAGGAGUUGCAUCUGAAACUGGAAGGCUUGAGUGCAGGAGAGGAGAGUGGAAUUCUCGGUGUAGCGGUGGAAUGCGUAGAGAUCGGGAGGAACACCAGUGGCGAAGGCGACUCUCUGGCCUGUAACUGACGCUGAGGCGCGAAAGCGUGGGGAGCGAACAGGAUUAGAUACCCUGGUAGUCCACGCCGUAAACGAUGAGUGCUAGGUGUUGGGGGCGUUACGCCCCCAGUGCCGAAGGAAACCCAAUAAGCACUCCGCCUGGGGAGUACGGCCGCAAGGCUGAAACUCAAAGGAAUUGACGGGGGCCCGCACAAGCGGUGGAGCAUGUGGUUUAAUUCGAUGCAACGCGAAGAACCUUACCAGGGCUUGACAUCCCUCUGAUCGGUGUAGAAAUAUACCUUUCCCUUCGGGGACAGAGGUGACAGGUGGUGCAUGGUUGUCGUCAGCUCGUGUCGUGAGAUGUUGGGUUCAGUCCCGCAACGAGCGCAACCCUUAUCUUUAGUUGCCAGCAGGUCAUGCUGGGCACUCUAGAGAGACAGCCGGUGAAAGCCGGAGGAAGGUGGGGAUGACGUCAAAUCAUCAUGCCCCUUAUGUCCUGGGCUACACACGUGCUACAAUGGCUGGUACAACGGGAUGCGAAACCGUAAGGUGAAGCCAGUCCCUUAAAGCCAGUCUCAGUUCGGAUCGCAGGCUGCAACUCGCCUGCGUGAAGCUGGAAUCGCUAGUAAUCGCGGAUCAGCAUGCCGCGGUGAAUACGUUCCCGGGCCUUGUACUCACCGC